Mauremys mutica (yellowpond turtle) is the source of this 1566-nucleotide long non-coding RNA. RefSeq lists it as uncharacterized. The record is from RefSeq and is a predicted model, not a curated record. The transcript is spliced from 3 exons. Lineage: Eukaryota; Metazoa; Chordata; Testudines; Geoemydidae.
UAGAAGCCAAAUGACUGGGAUCAUCAACUCCAGUGACAGAGCUGCAUGUCUUUGUAGCAGUGUUGCAGAAAUGAGCAUGGAGAGGGAAUAGGAAAGGGGAGAGAGGUGUCUUUGUGGCAACAAUGAGUGACUCGUCUCUAGUUAUCGCCUGGUUGCUGGGUUUUUCCCCCUGCACUUUCUUUUGCAGUUGAAAGGAAGAUAAUUGUUUGAAAAUUAUUAAUAAAUCCUCCUUUUUUUUUCUUCUCUUUUUCACCCUUCCUCCCAUCCCCCUUGAUGUGGCCUCUUGUUUAGCUUGUGGCGUGACCAUGAUGAAGAAAUUUUUCUGGGAGCCUGGCAGUGUGAUCUUUUUAUGUAAUGAGUCAGGAUUUUGCCAAGGGAAGGAGCAAGGUUUGAGGAUUGAGGGUCUGUCUCCUUUCAAGAAGAAAACUGACAGGCGAGAUGCACCUUUUUCCCAGGAUCCUUUUUUCCCCUCCCCACCUCACAGGAACGACAAGUGAUUUGAAAACCAGGAAGCUGAAGAGAAAAGGAGAAGCUUCGGACACUGGAGGUUCCAAGUUAGGCCAUGCGACAGUAAGAAGGAACUGAAAAGGUACCUCUAGGAAUUCUGGAUUUUCUGUUGUUGCAUUAAAUGUUGAGAGGUGCAUGGAUUCAGCGGUGACAUAGUUGUUUCAGGACUUGGAAUGAUGUGCUAAAAUCAGGUUAUAGGACAAGACUCUUCACAAAGAAAGCUGCACACUGGAUUUUGGACAAUUAACAUUUCAAUUUUUCCCCGGAAUACAAAGUUGUUGUUUGAAGCCAGAAAUGCUUUCUCUGUGCCAACACCACCUCUUGUUGGCUUUGUGCACCAUCCAGAAUUAAAGUACAAGAAAGUUACACCUCAUGAAUUAAUGGGAACAAUACACAACAAGAUUGAUAAAUUUGGUGUGUGUCACACAGUGUUUACAUUUAAGAUGCAAAAAUUUUUAAGUGUGGGAAAGAGAAAUGCCUGCACAGCAGCUCUUUAGGGAAUAGCAGGCUGUGAGUUUAACAGAUUUCCAUUCUGACUGCUGAUAGAAGCACUGUGUUUAGUAUAUACACCCAAAAGGUGUGUGUGAGGGGGGAGAGAACAGUUCUGCUUGCAAAUUUGGCAUAGCUGAGAUUGAGACAAGCAGCAAAUAAAAAACAAGUGUGCAAACAAAAUGAAAGAAUCAAAACCAAAGCUCUAGAUAAUUUUCAAGUAGAUUGGUUUUGAUAAACUAAUCUAUUUAGAAAUUAUUUUGUUUAAGCUUGUUGGGGAAAAUUGUUCAACUGAAAACCUAUGUAAUGAUUUCUAAUUGUAUAUAUCCAAAACAAUUCAAGUUAACACAUGAAUAUAGUAAGCUAUUAAAUCUCAAGUUACAAAUGUGAAACUAUUUUGGCAACUGUAGGAGCUUUCAUAGUUAUAACAUUUCAAAUAAGAGUAUUUUCCCAGGAGGUGAAACUGACAUCUGUUACAAUUAUGGAGAGAAACACCCCCCCCAACUCUCUUUUGUUUAUAACCUACAAACUAAAAAAUGUGUGUGUAUGUGUGUAUCUCUGUUUCUUUGU